Long non-coding RNA from Actinia tenebrosa (Australian red waratah sea anemone), 1468 nucleotides. RefSeq lists it as uncharacterized. NCBI's taxonomy places the organism in Eukaryota, Metazoa, Cnidaria, Anthozoa, Actiniaria, Actiniidae. The record is from RefSeq and is a predicted model, not a curated record.
AUCAUCUAAAUUUGCAUCUUGGCAUCAAAAAAGUACUUGAAGUCAACCCCACACUUGAAGUCCAUCCCAACAUCUACGAUACAUCUGUGGUCCAUCUGCCAAGUUUUGAAGGAAGUUAUUUAGUUUUAUUGGCGGAACAAGCGGCUCGAUUGUGAAUUAUAGCAUGGAUUAUACUCCUGCCUCAAUCAUCGUCAUCGUCAAAACAACAGUAACUACGAACCUAGAAGUAAUGUCCGCAACGGAAGCUAUCCUUAAGACUGUAUCAGAAGAAGUUACAACUACAACAACAAGAGCCGUGAAAGACACAACCAUAAGUGUUACCAUGGUAACGACUGAAACGACCCUUUUGAUAAGGAUGUCUGGAGAGCGUCGUCAAAAGUCCCGGGCCUUUGGAUAGGAUUCUUUCAGUGUUAUYAUUGUAAAGGAUGGUUAUUACAUGGGGAAGACCUACUAUUGAACGUUAACCUACAAAAYGUGAGAAAAAAGACAUUUGUCUUUGGCACCCAAAGGGUAUUUUUAUAGAAUUGUUAAAACGCAGUUCUAUUUGGUCGGCGUUUGCCGUUCACUUCACUUUCGAAGUAGGUAUCAACAUCAAUGAAACGAUAUGAUUAUCAAUGAAACUGAUAUCUUAUGGAAAUAUACUUGGACGAUAGCGGAUUUGAAUCGCUUAAGAUUUAUCUGAAAAUGGUGAUCAGAAAAGCGAGACUGACUUUAAAAGAUUACUUCUGUGAUGUAUCUCGUUGAUAGAUAGGCAACUCUACUCAACAAUAGUUUACUUGCAUUGUAGCGUCAUUUACUACCACUACCAUAUUCCCUUGCACACUCUUUUGUUCAGUUAAUUAGCACCAGUUGUCUUGUCACCAUUCUCAUGAAGGAAUACGAAUUUGAUUAAGAAGAAAAUUUGCGAGGAUUUUGGUAGUGGUAGUAAAAUGACGACAUCUUGCAAUUUGCCUGAUCAUCGUUUCAUUGGUAUGGAAUGAUCGAGAAUAAUGAAAAGAAAAAGUUACUUCUGUUCUUCUUUAACCGUGAACACUCGAGUUUGUCAACCAAUCAGAUUACGAAUCGAAAAUAAUAGAAUUUGAGUUACAUGUAUAUACAAGUUACAUGUUAAAUAUAAAAGCUAUUUAAGGAGAUGAAAUGGUGAAAGAGAAAGGGGGAAAAAAAAUUUUAUUUACAAAGAUAAAAAACAAAAUAAAAUAAAUCGAUUGUUCAAGGUUAGAGUAGAACGAUAGUAAGGGUCUUGUCUAUCGUCGCGUUAGUUGCUUGAAAUGCUUUGGACAUUUAUUCUUGCAACUACAUGUUAUAGUUUUAUAAUAAUUUUAUACGUUUUUAAAAGGAAGGACUUCUGAAUUACUAAAUGUGAGGUAAUAGGUAAUACGCUAAAGAUUUGUUUCUAAAAAAGGAAUGUUCUAGAAUUAAAAAGUUUAUAUAAAUGAUUAUUUACCAAUAAAAUAUACAUUACCAUUCA